CGAACACCCAGAGUCACAUCAGGAGAGCACAGCAGAUCCCACAGACACUCACUCUUUCAUUAUGUCUGGAAAUUCAGUUUACCAGCCAUCAGAUGUUUUAGUCAAUAAACAACAGAAACAGGGAAAUCCAGAGGAAAAUGAGAAUGUUUAUCUCCUGUACUCCAUGAUCCCUGACAAACCAGUUCACUCAAACGCAGAAGAUCACGUGUACAGUUUGGUGAAGAUGCACUGACAAAUCCCAUGUCUGUGUUCAUUAUCUAUUGCGACUAUAAAUAAAGUGUAUUUACUU
Molecule: long non-coding RNA, 289 nt
Organism: Sinocyclocheilus grahami
Lineage: Eukaryota; Metazoa; Chordata; Actinopteri; Cypriniformes; Cyprinidae
Exons: 3
Source: RefSeq, a predicted model, not a curated record